Acanthosepion pharaonis is the source of this 78-nucleotide non-coding RNA. Lineage: Eukaryota; Metazoa; Mollusca; Cephalopoda; Sepiida; Sepiidae. The record is from the annotation of a GenBank genome assembly.
UCCCGCACGAUCACCGAAGUUAAGCAACAUCGAGCCUGGUCAGUACCUAGAUGGGUGAUCGCUUGGGAAUAACAGGCA